UACAGAGGGUGCGAGCGUUAAUCGGAAUUACUGGGCGUAAAGCGCACGUAGUCGGCUUUGCAAGUCGGGUGUGAAAUCCCCGGGCUCAACCUGGGAACUGCGCUUGAGACUGGCAGGCUCGAGUUCGGGAGAGGAUGGUGGAAUUCCCAGUGUAGAGGUGAAAUUCGUAGAUAUUGGGAAGAACACCGAUGGCGAAGGCAGCCAUCUGGACCGACACUGACGCUGAGGCGCGAAAGCGUGGGGAGCAAACAGG
RNAcentral lists this ribosomal RNA (253 nucleotides) under uncultured bacterium. RNAcentral's name for it is "partial 16S ribosomal RNA". It matches the Rfam family "Bacterial small subunit ribosomal RNA", at positions 524 to 776 of the family's 1533-position model. The record is from RNAcentral.